RNAcentral lists this ribosomal RNA (320 nucleotides) under uncultured Prevotella sp. Its description in RNAcentral is "partial 16S ribosomal RNA". Lineage: Bacteria; Pseudomonadati; Bacteroidota; Bacteroidia; Bacteroidales; Prevotellaceae. The record is from RNAcentral.
GGAGUUUGGACCGUGUCUCAGUUCCAAUGUGGGGGACCUUCCUCUCAGAACCCCUACUGAUCGUGGGCUUGGUGGGCCGUUACCCCGCCAACAACCUAAUCAGACGCAUCCCCAUCCUAUACCGGUAAACCUUUGCUUCAUUUCAGAUGUCUUCUACGAAGAACAUAGAGUAUUAAUCCGACUUUCGCCGGGCUAUCCUCUAGUAUAGGGAAGGUUGGAUACGCGUUACUCACCCGUGCGCCGGUCGCCAUCUAUCAAAGCAAGCUUCGAUAAUGAUGCCCCUCGACUUGCAUGUGUUAAGCCUGUAGCUAGCGUUCAUC